Molecule: ribosomal RNA, 492 nt
Filed under: uncultured bacterium
Lineage: Bacteria
Description: partial 16S ribosomal RNA
Rfam family: Bacterial small subunit ribosomal RNA
Source: RNAcentral
AGUGAACGCUGGCGGUAGGCCUAACACAUGCAAGUCGAACGGCAGCACAGUAAGAGCUUGCUCUUACGGGUAGCGAGUGGCGGACGUGUGAGGAAUACAUCGUAAUCUACUUUUUCGUGGGGGAUAACGUAGGGAAACUUACGCUAAUACCGCAUACCACCUACGGGUGAAAGCAGUGGAUCUUCUGACCUUGCGCGAUUGAAUGAGCCGAUGUCGGAUUAGCUAGUUGGCGGGGUAAAGGCCCACCAAGGCGACGAUCCGUAGCUGGACUGAGAGGGUGAUCAGCCACACUGGACCUGAGACACGGUCCAGACUCCUACGGGAGGCAGCAGUGGGGAUUAUUGGACAAUGGGCGCAAGCCUGAUCCAGCCAUACCGCGUGGGUGAAGAAGGCCUUCGGGUUGUAAAGCCCUUUUGUUGGGAAAGAAAAGCAGCAGGUUAAUACCCCGCUGUUCUGACGGUACCCAAAGAAUAAGCACCGGCUAACUUAGUG